This 1489-nucleotide ribosomal RNA is filed under the name uncultured Bordetella sp. RNAcentral's name for it is "partial 16S-23S ribosomal RNA intergenic spacer". It matches the Rfam family "Bacterial small subunit ribosomal RNA". Lineage: Bacteria; Pseudomonadati; Pseudomonadota; Betaproteobacteria; Burkholderiales; Alcaligenaceae. The record is from RNAcentral.
AGUUUGAUUAUGGCUCAGAUUGAACGCUGGCCGGGAUGCUUUACACAUGCAAGUCGAACGGCAGCACGGACUUCGGUCUGGUGGCGAGAGUGGCGAACGGGUGAGUAAUGUAUCGGAACGUGCCUAGUAGCGGGGGAUAACUACGCGAAAGCGUAGCUAAUACCGCAUACGCCCUUCGGGGAAAGCGGGGGACCUUCGGGCCUCGCACUAUUAGAGCGGCCGAUAUCGGAUUAGCUAGUUGGUGGGGUAACGGCUCACCAAGGCGACGAUCCGUAGCUGGUUUGAGAGGACGACCAGCCACACUGGGACUGAGACACGGCCCCAGGCUCUACGGGAGGCAGCAGUGGGGAAUUUUGGACAAUGGGGAAACCCUGAUCCAGCCAUCCCGCGUGUGCGAUGAAGGCCUUCGGGUUUGUAAAAGCACUUUUGGCAGGAAAGAAACGGCACGGGAUAAUACCCCGUGCAACUGACGGUACCUGCAGAAUAAGCACCGGCUAACUACGUGCCAGCAGCCGCGGUAAUACGUAGGGUGUGCAAGCGUUAAUCGGAAUUACUGGGCGUAAAGCGUGCGCAGGCGGUUCGGAAAGUGAAAUCCCAGAGCUUAACUUUGGAACUGCAUUUUUAACUACCGAGCUAGAGUGUGUCAGAGGGAGGUGGAAUUCCGCGUGUAGCAGUGAAAUGCGUAGAUAUGCGGAGGAGGAACACCGAUGGCGAAGGCGGCCUCCUGGGAUAACAUUGACGCUCAUGCACGAAAGCGUGGGAAGCAAACAGGAUUAGAUACCCUGGUAGUCCACGCCUAAACGAUGUCAACUAGCUGUUGGGGCCUUCGGGCGCUUGGUAGCGCAGCUAACGCGUGAAGUUGACCGCCUGGGAGGUACGGUCACCAAGAUUAAAACUCAAAAUUGACGGGGACCCGCACAAGCGGUGGAUGAUGUGGAUUAAUUCGAUGCAACGCGAAAACCUUACCUACCCUUGACAUGUCUGGAAUCCCGAAGAGAUUUGGGAGUGCUCGCAAGAGAACCGGAACACAGGUGCUGCAUGGCUGUCGUCAGCUCGUGUCGUGAGAUGUUGGGUUAAGUCCCGCAACGAGCGCAACCCUUGUCAUUAGUUGCUACGAAAGGGCACUCUAAUGAGACUGCCGAUGAGCAAACCGGAGGAAGGUGGGGAUGACGUCAAGUCCUCAUGGCCCUUAUGGGUAGGGCUUCACACGUCAUACAAUGGUCGGGACAGGGGGGUCGCCAACCCGCGAGGGGGGAGCCAAUCCCAGAAACCCGAUCGUAGUCCGGAUCGCAGUCUGCAACUCGACUGCGUGAAGUCGGAAUCGCUAGUAAUCGCGGAUCAGCAUGUCGCGGUGAAUACGUUCCCGGGUCUUGUACACACCGCCCGUCACACCAUGGGAGUGGGUUUUACCAGAAGUAGUUAGCCUAACCGUAAGGAGGGCGAUUACCACGGUAGGAUUCAUGACUGGGGUGAAGUCGUAACAAGGUAG